UUCUGGUUAGCUCAGUUGGAACUUGGUAGAGCGCUCCACUGGAAUUGGAGAGGUCCCUGGUUCAAUACCAGGUCCAGGCG
RNAcentral lists this transfer RNA (80 nucleotides) under Ixodes scapularis (black-legged tick). It matches the Rfam family "tRNA". Rfam says of the family: Transfer RNA (tRNA) molecules are approximately 80 nucleotides in length. Their secondary structure includes four short double-helical elements and three loops (D, anti-codon, and T loops). Lineage: Eukaryota; Metazoa; Arthropoda; Arachnida; Ixodida; Ixodidae. The record is from Rfam by way of RNAcentral.